UCCGUAGGUGAACCUGCGGAGGGAUCAUUACCGAGUUUACAACUCCCAAACCCCUGUGAACAUACCACUUGUUGCCUCGGCGGAUCAGCCCGCUCCCGGUAAAACGGGACGGCCCGCCAGAGGACCCCUAAACUCUGUUUCUAUAUGUAACUUCUGAGUAAAACCAUAGAUAAAUCAAAACUUUCAACAACGGAUCUCUUGGUUCUGGCAUCGAUGAAGAACGCAGCAAAAUGCGAUAAGUAAUGUGAAUUGCAGAAUUCAGUGAAUCAUCGAAUCUUUGAACGCACAUUGCGCCCGCCAGUAUUCUGGCGGGCAUGCCUGUUCGAGCGUCAUUUCAACCCUCAAGCACAGCUUGGUGUUGGGACUCGCGUUAAUUCGCGUUCCUCAAAUUGAUUGGCGGUCACGUCGAGCUUCCAUAGCGUAGUAGUAAAACCCUCGUUACUGGUAAUCGUCGCGGCCACGCCGUUAAACCCCAACUUCUGAAUGUUGACCUCGGAUCAGGUAGGAAUACCCGCUGAACUUAAGCAUAUCAAUAAGCGGAGGA
Molecule: ribosomal RNA, 544 nt
Filed under: Fusarium oxysporum
Lineage: Eukaryota; Fungi; Ascomycota; Sordariomycetes; Hypocreales; Nectriaceae
Description: eukaryotic LSU rRNA
Rfam family: 5.8S ribosomal RNA (bases 179-332)
Source: RNAcentral